This is a long non-coding RNA of Seriola aureovittata, 1102 nucleotides long. RefSeq lists it as uncharacterized. The record is from RefSeq and is a predicted model, not a curated record. NCBI's taxonomy places the organism in Eukaryota, Metazoa, Chordata, Actinopteri, Carangiformes, Carangidae. The transcript is spliced from 3 exons.
CUCCAUGAGAUGGACAAAUAACUGUUUGUUCAUCUCAGCAGGUAAAAACCUGUAGUAGAAGAAUUAUAAUUUAAAUUGUGUGGCUGCUUAUCUUCUGUCAUGGUCCAGUUUUAGCAGAAUGACAAAGGUCGAUUUUGUUUAUUGCCUCGUUUGAUGGAGUUCAAUUCUACAAACCUGCUUGCCUAUCUAUAGAGAGCUGAAGUAAGAACCAGUAAGAAUCAUUCAGAAUCCUACUGACAUCUGUAACUAAGUGAAUAACGAACAACCCAGCCUUGGAGCCUUUUUCAACAGUAUGUUGUGUGGCUUGCUUGAAACAAGCUCAUAUUUUUUUAGCUGCCAUUUCUCAUUUCCCAUGAGCUCUUGACGUUCACGGUCAUGCCCGAGAGAUGAGGCAAAUCCAUGAACGAGUCGAGGGAGAUCACAACAGUCUGUUGCAGAGCACCAGUAACUUGGACCUUGUGCUCCGACAAGGACACGAUCCCUCACUGGCUUCCCAGUCAUGAACACAGCCACUUGUGCUUGCUGGAGAUCCCACAACUGAAAUCACUUCAACUGUGCAUUUUCAUAAUGAACUUCCUGGGGUGAUGUGGGUAAGGCUGGCAGAAAUACAACCACAGGUGAUAAAUACAGCAAGAAGCUGAUCUCCCUUGCCGCAGAAAAGAGGCUAAUUAAAUUUUCAUGUAGAUAAUCAUGAGCUAAUCCACUGUUAAUUGUGCUUCUUUCCGACACAGUGGCUCCCUCAUGGGAUCCAACAUUAUGUCCAUGCAGCAUUUCCUUUGCUUAAACGCCUCUUAGAUUUAAUGGACUCUUCCAUACACUGAUCCUCAGCAGCUCCUCGCACACGACCACACAAAGCCUGAACGCAUCCAUCAACAAUAAUCCCCUCAAUGAUCUCCAUUUUAUCUUUUCACUCCCCUCCUCCUCCUCCUCCUUACUCAUGUCCCUACACAGGGCUUAAUUACUGGUGCGAAGUAAUUAUUUCCUUUAUUAGUGAAACGUAACAUCUGUUUCAGGUCUUUUUAAUUGUACCUAUAAAACCCUUCCAUGAUUUCUGUCCCUUUAGGAUAGGACUGGGCUGCUUGUUGCUCCCUGCGGACUCACU